CACCCCCGGCAAUGGGCAAAGAGACACCUUGUCUGUGAUGUUGUUGUAUCAGUCAGGGACAGAGCAGGUAUCACUGCUUGGUUCACCCUAGCUUGAUGCCUGGCUUGGUGGUUAAAGCUGUCUUAUGCCUAGGACUCAUAA
Molecule: small nucleolar RNA, 141 nt
Organism: Rattus rattus (black rat)
Lineage: Eukaryota; Metazoa; Chordata; Mammalia; Rodentia; Muridae
Product: small nucleolar RNA SNORA48
Exons: 1
Source: RefSeq, a predicted model, not a curated record